Molecule: ribosomal RNA, 484 nt
Filed under: uncultured bacterium
Lineage: Bacteria
Description: partial 16S ribosomal RNA
Rfam family: Bacterial small subunit ribosomal RNA
Source: RNAcentral
AUUGAACGCUGGCGGCAGGCCUAACACAUGCAAGUCGAGCGGAUGAAGGGAGCUUGCUCCUGGAUUCAGCGGCGGACGGGUGAGUAAUGCCUAGGAAUCUGCCUGGUAGUGGGGGAUAACGUCCGGAAACGGGCGCUAAUACCGCAUACGUCCUGAUGGUGAAAGUGGGGGAUCUUCGGACCUCACGCUAUCAGAUGAGCCUAGGUCGGAUUAGCUAGUUGGUGGGGUAAAGGCCUACCAAGGCGACGAUCCGUAACUGGUCUGAGAGGAUGAUCAGUCACACUGGAACUGAGACACGGUCCAGACUCCUACGGGAGGCAGCAGUGGGGAAUAUUGGACAAUGGGCGAAAGCCUGAUCCAGCCAUGCCGCGUGUGUGAAGAAGGUCUUCGGAUUGUAAAGCACUUUAAGUUGGGAGGAAGGGCAGUAAGUUAAUACCUUGCUGUUUUGACGUUACCAACAGAAUAAGCACCGGCUAACUUCGUG